Molecule: microRNA precursor, 203 nt
Organism: Oryza sativa Japonica Group (Japanese rice)
Lineage: Eukaryota; Viridiplantae; Streptophyta; Magnoliopsida; Poales; Poaceae
Rfam family: MIR812 microRNA precursor family
Source: Rfam
AAAAAGACAAACACUAGAAUUUCGUGUCCAACGUUUGACUGUCCGUUUUAUAUAAUUUUUUUUAUAAGUAUUUUCAUUGUUGUUAGAUGAUAAAACAUGAUUAAUACUUUAUGCGUGACUUGUCUUUUUAAUUUUUUUCAUAUUUUUUUUAAAUAAGACGGACGGUCAAACGUUGAACACGAAAAUCCAGCGUUUGUUUUAUU